AGUCCGCGGCCCCUGCCUGUCACCCCAAGAGCACCGCAGCCCGGAGCGCCUCGUGCCGGUGUCAGGCACUGAUGCCAGCUGUCAGCACGGGAGGUGACAGCCCGAUAAUGACCGCGCGGAGCGGGAUGGCUCCGACGCGGGGGAGGGGCAAUGGGGUGACUUUCCCCGCAGCCCAUCCUGCUGCCACCCGCUCCUUGGAGCCCUGUCAGCCCCGCGACGCCCUGGGGACCCUCUGCGGCACCAGCACCCCACGGCUCCGUGUGGCACAAGCGCUCGGUGGUCACACACGGAGCGAGGUGUGUGCGGGUACACCUGGAAUUCAGCCUGGAUCAUAAAAUCAUGGAAUCCCAGAGUGGGUUGGGUUGGAAAGGACCUCAAAGCCCAUCUCGUUCCACUCCCUGGCAUGCACAGGACACUUUCCACCAUUCCAGGUGGCUCAGAGCUCCAUCCAAGCCGUGUCUGUGCACACAUCCACACAUUUUCUGUGGGAUGGGGGCAUUCGGGUAACACCCCCAGGGGCUCGAACACCCCUCGGCCCCGGGAAUGCCCAGCCCUGGGAGCUGCAUGCAGGCACUCACAGCCCACCCCCAGCACCCCUGCAGCGCUCCCACAGCCGCCACCUCCCCCCAACACGGCUUUGGGGGCAGGGAGCACCCGCAGGCUCCUGCCUGGGCACGCCAGGCAUCAACACAUCCCAGGGGUUCUGCCACUUGGGAAUCCUGGCUUGUCCCAGCUGAGCUCCGGCCACCCUGCUGAUGCUGGCACGGGCACAGCCAUGUCCACGCAUCCAGGCUGGGCAGCCACCGUGUCACACAGCACGGGAGGAGUGGGAAGGAGGCGAGCCGGGCUGUGCCGGCGCUGCGGGGCAGGUGACACCGCCAAAAAGGAGGAGGACGAGGACGGGGGCGAUGCCAGGCAAGGCUGCGGUCACUGCGCAGCCAGGCCGUGGGUUGGCUGGCUGUGACAAGGCCGCUGUGACAUCGGCGCUGUGACAACGCGGCUCGUGUCCCGAGGGCAGAAAGCAUCUCCCUCGUUAGGCGCGCUCGCCGCUCCCGGGCCGCCUGCCCGCCGCCCGCAGCUGCUGCUCCUCCCCGCUGCGCCCGCCGCUGUCUCCCCGUAAUUAAAGAUCCAACGACCUUUGCCGACUGCCUGAGACGCUGGAACAAAUGAACGAGGCGCGCUCCUGAUUGAUCUGGAAGAAGCAGCUCAGUGCGAGGGAAGGAGUCUAUACACACCGAAACAGCUCUUUAAUUUCUUAAUUUAAUAUCUGACACGUAAAGAUUCUCAUUAAGCCAGUCAAUGAAGCCUGGAAAUACAAUUUUCGUGCAAACUGU
This is a long non-coding RNA of Vidua chalybeata, 1334 nucleotides long. RefSeq lists it as uncharacterized. The record is from RefSeq and is a predicted model, not a curated record. NCBI's taxonomy places the organism in Eukaryota, Metazoa, Chordata, Aves, Passeriformes, Viduidae. The transcript is spliced from 2 exons.